UACAGAGGUCUCAAGCGUUGUUCGGAAUUACUGGGCGUAAAGGGCGCGUAGGCGGCGACCCAAGUCAGAUGUGAAAGUCCUGGGCUUAACCUGGGGACUGCAUUUGAUACUGGGUUGCUUGAAUUCGGGAGAGGAUAGCGGAAUUCCCAGUGUAGAGGUGAAAUUCGUAGAUAUUGGGAAGAACACCGGUGGCGAAGGCGGCUAUCUGGACCGACAUUGACGCUGAGGCGCGAAAGCGUGGGGAGCAAACAGG
Molecule: ribosomal RNA, 253 nt
Filed under: uncultured bacterium
Lineage: Bacteria
Description: partial 16S ribosomal RNA
Rfam family: Bacterial small subunit ribosomal RNA
Source: RNAcentral